GACGAACGCUGGCGGCGUGCUUAACACAUGCAAGUCGAACGGUGAAGCGCCUUCCUUUUUGGUGGGUGUGGAUGAGUGGCGAACGGGUGAGUAACACGUGAGUAACCUGCCCCCUUCUUCUGGAUAACCGCAUGAAAGUGUGGCUAAUACGGGAUAUUCUGGGUCUGUCGCAUGAUGGGUCUGGGAAAGAUAUUGUUUCGGUGGGGGAUGGGCUCGCGGCCUAUCAGCUUGUUGGUGGGGUGAUGGCCUACCAAGGCGGUGACGGGUAGCCGGCCUGAGAGGGUGGACGGUCACACUGGGACUGAGACACGGCCCAGACUCCUACGGGAGGCAGCAGUGGGGAAUAGUGCACAAUGGGCGCAAGCCUGAUGCAGCGACGCCGCGUGAGGGAUGGAGGCCUUCGGGUAGUGAACCUCUUUCGCCAGUGAAGCAGGCCUGCCUCGUUUGUGGGUGGGUUGACGGUAGCUGGAGAAGAAGCGCCGGCUAACUACGUG
RNAcentral lists this ribosomal RNA (494 nucleotides) under uncultured bacterium. RNAcentral describes it as "partial 16S ribosomal RNA". It matches the Rfam family "Bacterial small subunit ribosomal RNA", at positions 28 to 507 of the family's 1533-position model. The record is from RNAcentral.